Bombyx mori (domestic silkworm) is the source of this 85-nucleotide non-coding RNA. The record is from Rfam. NCBI's taxonomy places the organism in Eukaryota, Metazoa, Arthropoda, Insecta, Lepidoptera, Bombycidae.
CUUACUCAAAUUUGUACGGAGUUGGAAAAGCUUCCCUUCGUUGGCCGUUAGGGGCGCUGUUCCAACUCCAUACAAAUUUGAGUUA